RNAcentral lists this ribosomal RNA (253 nucleotides) under uncultured bacterium. RNAcentral's name for it is "partial 16S ribosomal RNA". It matches the Rfam family "Bacterial small subunit ribosomal RNA", at positions 524 to 776 of the family's 1533-position model. The record is from RNAcentral.
UACGUAGGGGGCUAGCGUUGUCCGGAUUUAUUGGGCGUAAAGAGCGUGUAGGCGGCCAUGUAGGUCCGGUGUGAAAACUCGAGGCUUAACCUCGAGAUGUCAUCGGAAACCAUUUGGCUAGAGUCCGGAAGAGGAGAGUGGAAUUCCUGGUGUAGCGGUGAAAUGCGCAGAUAUCAGGAAGAACACCAAUGGCGAAAGCAGCUCUCUGGGACGGUACUGACGCUGAGGCGCGAAAGCGUGGGGAGCGAACAGG